This 21-nucleotide microRNA is filed under the name Ananas comosus (pineapple). RNAcentral's name for it is "microRNA s0999_c125a". Lineage: Eukaryota; Viridiplantae; Streptophyta; Magnoliopsida; Poales; Bromeliaceae. The record is from RNAcentral.
GUAGUAGGUAUCUGGUUCACU